GGAAAAUUGAAGAUUCAGCCACAAAAUUUAUUUCAGAAUAACAAUAAAUUAAUUUAUAGAGAAGUAAUGGAUCCAUCAUCGCACACUUUGUGUACUAUGAAUAUUGGGAGUUCGUUAUAGCAGCUCAAACACGUAUGUGUCAUCUAUUUGAAGUUGUUUCUCUCAGGCAUAUUGUGAACAACUUGUGGUGAAACAUCGUACGUCACCAUUUGUUGUCAAACUCAUAGAAACAGUGUAGUUGAAAUGCGGAUAGUCAUGGAUUCGAACACUUUGUAUAAAUUUGAGUAGAUAUUCUCCACUGAAUCUUGAAAGUACAUACUAAAAAGUAAAAUAAAAAUGAGCGAAAAAUGGAAUUUAAAAUUGUGGAAACAUCAGUAAAAGAAAACUUACAAUUUUGAGACUGUCAUUAUGUUUGAAUAUUAGUCUACGGACAGAAUUUCCUAUAUGGAAUGUCUCUUCUUCAACAACUUUGAAGUCGGAGUGGCAUGUAUCAUAAGCUACUUCUAACCGUGAAUCGUCAAAUAUUGAAAUAUUAAAGGUAGAAUUUUCAAUAUAUUCGAACACAAUAACAUAACCAUCUUGUAAAUUGCGAUGGUCGAAGAAUUGUUCACAUCCACCAGCUAAAUAAAUGUUAUUGUGAACUCUUUCUAGUUGUAUGGUAGCAAUUAUACCAUUGUAUCCAAUUAGACAUAUUCUGUUGGCAAGUUCGUGUCCUGAUUCAACAAAAGAUCUUGGAAGCAAUUAUACAAUGAAAAAUAAAAGUAUUUUUAGCUGAUAUAUGAUUUUAUUAGUUUUAAGAAAAUAUAAGCAUUAUAAUAAGACUUAUCAAUUGAAUGUUAUAAUUAAAGAAGUGUCAACAAUUCGAAAGAAAUGGUGUGGUACAUCCAUGCCUGACAUGAUAAAGAUUAGUGACCAAAAAGACACAAAUUUAGCAUUAACAACACAAAUUUAGGUUGAGUGAUAAUUACUUCAAAAUUGAAAAGGCCACAAGCAUGAGAAAAAACUUGUAAUUUUGUAAAUGCAUUGUCAAAGAAAUCUGUGUUUUUUCCUCUGGUAUAUUUAUCUCCUAUAAACUUACUUUCUUCACUGAUUUUCCUGAGAGGGAAUGUCAAUAGUAUAGAAAAUAACGUGUAGUUGAUGAAAUUAGAUAAAAGAAAAUUACAAGCAGAAUUUCAUUAAUCAUAAUAUUAUUAUAUCGACUGAUUAUAUAUACAUAGGAAAACAUUCAAUAUGUAGAAUUUGAAGUUUCAAAUCUCGAAAAAUCAUCAAAUGAUUUCACACAUUCAGGUUUUCAAUAUGAAGUUAUUAAAUAUAACAAUUAUAAUUUAGCUAAGUAGAGAGAUUUUUAUUAAUGGAUAAGAAUCAAACUUCCAACCAAUGUAAAACUUAAAUUAAAUAAAAUACCUUCCUUCUGUAGAUUUGGUUUGUGGCUGUGCUAACUUUAGAUGGAAGAGGUGAAAUUUGUUCCGUAAGUUGAAAGAUGAAAGGGAUUAAAUGAAAUAGUGGAAGAAUAAGAAGUGACUUUUGACAUGUAUUUUGUUUGGAUUCUUUGGCAGGAUUCUUUUUUUUUUUUUUCAUAGGUUACUUUUAU
This 1591-nucleotide long non-coding RNA is filed under the name Olea europaea subsp. europaea. The record is from RNAcentral. Lineage: Eukaryota; Viridiplantae; Streptophyta; Magnoliopsida; Lamiales; Oleaceae.